UACGUAGGGUGCAAGCGUUGUCCGGAAUUAUUGGGCGUAAAGAGCUCGUAGGCGGUUUGUCGCGUCUGCUGUGAAAACUCGGGGCUUAACUCCGGGCCUGCAGUGGGUACGGGCAGACUAGAGUGCGGUAGGGGAGACUGGAAUUCCUGGUGUAGCGGUGAAAUGCGCAGAUAUCAGGAGGAACACCGGUGGCGAAGGCGGGUCUCUGGGCCGUAACUGACGCUGAGGAGCGAAAGCGUGGGGAUCAAACAGG
This 253-nucleotide ribosomal RNA is filed under the name uncultured bacterium. Its description in RNAcentral is "partial 16S ribosomal RNA". It matches the Rfam family "Bacterial small subunit ribosomal RNA", at positions 524 to 776 of the family's 1533-position model. The record is from RNAcentral.